Molecule: long non-coding RNA, 2062 nt
Filed under: Equus asinus (donkey)
Lineage: Eukaryota; Metazoa; Chordata; Mammalia; Perissodactyla; Equidae
Description: lncRNA (ENSEASG00005028918.1)
Source: RNAcentral
GGAUCCGUGUGCACCAUGGUCCUCCACGUCCACCCGCGUCGGGGCCGGCCUGGGAGAGGGCUGCUUCUGUUGUUUAAUAGCUAUGUCUCUUGGAAAGCCGGUGUCUUCAUCGGAUUGCUUGGCACUCUGGACGGGGCUAUGAGCCCCGGACCCCAGAGACUGGAGCCAGUGACUGGCUGGCGACCAACUGCGAGUCUGGCUCACGCAGGCGCCCCAGGGAGACAAUGGUGCCUGGCGCGUAGUGGGCGGCCAGUACGCACUCCGGGGGACUCAGCACAAAGAGCACUCACACGACAGCGUCUCUCUGUGGCUGCCGGUUGCUUUGCUUUGAUUUCUAAGCGGCUGCUCUGCUUCCUCGCGGCGCUGGACGGAGGACACAUACCUCCUUCUGAAGUUCUCAAGGCCCUUCUGUGUCCGUCACUGCCCCACGGGUUCCAGUGCCCUGAGUGUGAGGGGAGGAGGAGCAGUGUUCGUUCUUCAUGGGAUUCCUGGUGGGGACGAGGCACAGGCGUCAGCGCCUCAGACAGCGUUUGCAUCCUAGCUGCACCCCGAGCUCUGGGACCUGGGCUGAACCUCGCCUGCGCCUUGAUUUCCUCUCCUGUGAAAUGGGUUCCAAAUACUGACCUGGAAGCACUGCUACAUUUGCUAAGCACCCACCAUAGGCAGGCCCUAUGGUAGGCACCAAGGGGACACUAAGAGGGAGAUGACAUGGAUCUUAUCCUCAAGUGAAAUAAGAAGAGGAAGGUGAGGAUGGUGGUGAUGAUGAUGGUGAAGAUGAUGAUGGUGAAGAAGAUGAGGCUGAUGGUAAUGGUGAUGAUGAUGAUGGUGAGGUGAUAAUGUUGGUGAUGAUGGUGAUGCUGCUGCUGCUGCUGAUGGUGACGAUGAUUAUGGUGAUGGUAGUGAUGGUGAUGAUGAUGGUGAGCUCAUAAUGUUGGUGAUGGUGAGGAUGAUGGUGAUGGUGAGGAUGAUGAUGGUGAGGAUGAUGAUGGUGAGGAUGGUGAUGGUGAGGAUGGUGAUGGUGAUGAUGAUGGUGAUGGUGAGGAUGAUGAUGGUGGGGAUGAUGAUGGUGAGGAUGGUGAUGGUGAGGUGAUGAUGGUGAUGAUGAUGGUGAUGCUGCUGCUGCUGCUGAUGGUGACGAUGAUUAUGGUGAUGGUAGUGAUGGUGAUGAUGAUGAUGGUGAGGAUGAUGAUGGUGAGGAUGAUGAUGGUGGUGAUGAUGAUGGUGAGGAUGAUGAUGGUGAGGAUGAUGAUGGUGGUGAUGAUGAUGGUGAGGAUGAUGAUGGUGAGGAUGGUGAUGGUGAUGAGGAUGGUGAUGGUGAUGAUGAUGGUGAUGGUGAGGAUGAUGGUGAGGAUGAUGAUGGUGAUGAUGGUGAGGAUGAUGAUGGUGAGGUGAUGAUGGUGAUGGCGAUGCUGCUGCUGCUGCUGCUGAUGGUGACGAUGAUUAUGGUGAUGGUAAUGAUGGUGAUGAUGACGGUGAGCUCAUAAUGUUGGUGAUGGUGAGGAUGGUGGUGAUGGUGAGGAUGAUCAUGGUAAUGGUGAUGAUGAUGGUGAGGAUGAUGAUGGUGAUGAUGAUGGUGAUGAUGAUGGUGAUGAUGAUGGUGGGGAUGAUGAUGGUGAGGAUGAUGAUGGUGAGGAUGAUGAUGGUGAGGAUGAUGAUGGUGAGGAUGGUGAAUUAUGCCUUUCCCUCCCCCCAAGAUACAGCCACCUUGUAGCUGUGAAUGUGACCUUAUUCGGAAAAAGGGUCUUUGCAGAUACAAUCAAGUUAAGGAUCUCCAGCUGAGAUAACCCUAGGUUAUUUGGGUGGGCCCUGAAGCCCAAGGCUGGUGUCCUUAUAAAGAAAGGCAGAGAGAUUUGAGACACAGACACAGACGGAAGACCAUGUGAAGACGGAGGCAGACACUGGAGUGAUUCAUACAAGUCAGGGGCCACCUGGAGCCCCCAGGAGCUGAAAGAGACAAGGAAGGACCCUCCGCUAGAGCCUUUGGAGGAUUCAUGACCCUGCGACAACUCGAUUUCAGACUUUGACCUCCAGAAGGGAAAGACAGUAAAUUCGUGUGGUUUUA